This 465-nucleotide ribosomal RNA is filed under the name uncultured bacterium. RNAcentral's name for it is "partial 16S ribosomal RNA". It matches the Rfam family "Bacterial small subunit ribosomal RNA", at positions 28 to 507 of the family's 1533-position model. The record is from RNAcentral.
GACGAACGCUGGCGGCGUGCUUAACACAUGCAAGUCGAACGGAAAGGCCCCUUUGGGGGUACUCGAGUGGCGAACGGGUGAGUAACACGUGAGUAACCUGCCCUUGACUUCGGGAUAACUUCAGGAAACUGGGGCUAAUACCGGAUAGGAAUCCUUGCUGCAUGGUGGGGGUUGGAAAGCUUCGGCGGUUUUGGAUGGACUCGCGGCUUAUCAGCUUGUUGGUGGGGUAGUGGCUUACCAAGGCUUUGACGGGUAGCCGGCCUGAAAGGGCGACCGGCCACAUUGGGACUGAGAUACGGCCCAGACUCCUACGGGAGGCAGCAGUGGGGAAUAUUGCACAAUGGGCGGAAGCCUGAUGCAGCAACACCGCGUGCGGGAUGACGGCCUUCGGGUUGUAAACCGCUUUCAGCAGGGGCGAAGCUUGUGGUGACGGUACCUGCAGAAGAAGCACCGGCUAACUACGUG